RNAcentral lists this ribosomal RNA (266 nucleotides) under uncultured bacterium. Its description in RNAcentral is "partial 16S ribosomal RNA". It matches the Rfam family "Bacterial small subunit ribosomal RNA", at positions 333 to 615 of the family's 1533-position model. The record is from RNAcentral.
GCCCACCUACGGGAGGCAGCAGUGGGGGAUAUUGCACAAUGGGGGAAACCCUGAUGCAGCGACGCCGCGUGCGGGAAGACGGUCCUCUGGAUUGUAAACCACUGUCCCCAGCGACGAAGAUGACGGUACCUGGGGAGGAAGCUCCGGCUAACUACGUGCCAGCAGCCGCGGUAAUACGUAGGGAGCGAGCGUUGUCCGGAAUUACUGGGUGUAAAGGGAGCGUAGGCGGGGAUGCAGGUUGGGUGUCAAAACUACCGGCUCAACUG